GUUAUAUGGUCAAGUGAAGAAGCGCAUACGGUGGAUGCCUUGGCAGUCAGAGGCGAUGAAAGACGUGGUAGCCUGCGAAAAGCUUCGGGGAGUCGGCAAACAGACUUUGAUCCGGAGAUGUCUGAAUGGGGGAACCCAGCCAUCACAAGAUGGUUAUCUUGUACUGAAUACAUAGGUGCAAGAGGCGAACCAGGGGAACUGAAACAUCUAAGUACCCUGAGGAAAAGAAAUCAACCGAGAUUCCCUUAGUAGUGGCGAGCGAACGGGGACUAGCCCUUAAGUGGCUUUGAGAUUAGCGGAACGCUCUGGAAAGUGCGGCCAUAGUGGGUGAUAGCCCUGUACGCGAA
RNAcentral lists this ribosomal RNA (347 nucleotides) under Mesorhizobium sp. RNAcentral's name for it is "partial 23S ribosomal RNA". It matches the Rfam family "Bacterial large subunit ribosomal RNA", at positions 1 to 383 of the family's 2925-position model. Lineage: Bacteria; Pseudomonadati; Pseudomonadota; Alphaproteobacteria; Hyphomicrobiales; Phyllobacteriaceae. The record is from RNAcentral.